GAUGAACGCUAGCGGCAGGCCAAAUACAUGCAAGUCGAACGAUAUUUUCCAGCUUGCUGGGAGAGAAAGUGGCGCACGGGUGCGUAACGCGUAUGCAACCUACCUUUAUCAGGGGGAUAGCCCGGAGAAAUCCGGAUUAAUACCGCAUAAAAUCACAGAACGGCAUUGUUCAAUGAUCAAACAUUGAUGGGAUAAAGAUGGGCAUGCGUGUCAUUAGCUAGUUGGCGGGGUAACGGCCCACCAAGGCGACGAUGACUAGGGGACCUGAGAGGAUGGCCCCCCACACUGGUACUGAGACACGGACCAGACUCCUACGGGAGGCAGCAGUAAAGAAUAUUGGUCAAUGGAGGCAACUCUGAACCAGCCAUGCCGCGUGCAGGAAGACUGCCCUAUGGGUUGUAAACUGCUUUUAUCCGGGAAUAAACCUCCGAUCGUGAUCGGAGCUGAAUGUACCGGAAGAAUAAGGAUCGGCUAACUCCGUGCCAGCCGCCGCAGUAA
This 498-nucleotide ribosomal RNA is filed under the name uncultured bacterium. RNAcentral's name for it is "partial 16S ribosomal RNA". It matches the Rfam family "Bacterial small subunit ribosomal RNA", at positions 28 to 523 of the family's 1533-position model. The record is from RNAcentral.